CCUANGGGUGGCAGCAGUGGGGAAUCUUGGACAAUGGGCGAAAGCCUGAUCCAGCCAUGCCGCGUGAAUGAUGAAGGCCCUAGGGUUGUAAAAUUCUUUCGACGGGGAAGAUAAUGACGGUACCCGUAGAAGAAGCUCCGGCUAACUUCGUGCCAGCAGCCGCGGUAAUACGAAGGGGGCUAGCGUUGUUCGGAAUUACUGGGCGUAAAGCGCACGUAGGCGGAUCGAUAAGUAAGAGGUGAAAUCCCAGAGCUCAACUCUGGAACUGCCUUUUAGACUGUCGAUCUGGAGCAGAGUAGAGGUGAGUGGAAUUCCGAGUGUAGAGGUGAAAUUCGUAGAUAUUCGGAGGAACACCAGUGGCGAAGGCGGCUCACUGGACUCUUGCUGACGCUGAGGUGCGAAAGCGUGGGGAGCAAACAGGAUUAGAUACCCCGNUANUC
RNAcentral lists this ribosomal RNA (440 nucleotides) under uncultured bacterium. RNAcentral describes it as "bacterial SSU rRNA". It matches the Rfam family "Bacterial small subunit ribosomal RNA", at positions 338 to 795 of the family's 1533-position model. The record is from RNAcentral.